GGAGGGGGGAGAGGGAGCGGGGAGGGGCAGGCGAGGGCUUGUUCUGCAGCAUUUCUGUAAUGUAAUUACCCGAGAUUUAAAUGAGCGAGUGUGUUUCCUACUGAAAAAUAAUCACUGUUGUUACCCCCGAGCUCCACUACGCUGGAUCGCCUGAUCUAUAUGUUUAAAAUGUCAAGCCCAGUGUAGGAACGAGGACUCAAAAAAUACAAUUCUCGGUCUAAAAAUCUUUUGAGGGAGAGAGCGUGUGUGGCUGGCUGGCUGGCUGGCUUUCUGCAGCGCUGAGAACCGACAGUUCCCACAUGAAAAUCGGCUCAUAAUGCUUCUUAUGUUUUAUUUCUGCUUUCUACAGGAUCUGGCCAUUGUUUCUGUCUGGAUCCAUCAGUAACUCACUCUGAGUCCAUGGCAAACUUGGGAAUAUGCCUCCCCAAGAGCCGUCCAAGGUCUUUGGGGCUGUCGUCCCUGCUUCAGAGAAAGCAAACUGAAACAUGCCCAAGGUCACCCAAGGAAAUCUGCACUAGAUUAGCACCUGAAUCAGUCAUUCUGGUCACAGAAAUGCUAAUUUCAUCGUCCGACAUCCAAGCGGAGCCUUGAAUGAUAUGGCUGUAUGGAAGAUAGAACCUGGCCCUGAUUCUGCUGUCAUGCUGGUGUGGAAGAGCAAUUCAGCUGGUGUCAGAGGAUUUCCAUUGACAUAAAUCUAGUCAUUUUGAAGUGUUGCAAACUUCCUGCAGAACAAAUGAGCCCCCUACUCUAAGGAACUUUGCGAAGGUUUUCCCUCCCCCUCGUCAUUUCUGCCAAAAGAACUGGAGAGUUGUGGUCAAUGGCAUCGCUGAAGGACACGAGGACAUGUGGGCUGACAGACAGUUCACUGAACAUAGUGAAUGAAAACUCCUGCCUGGAGCGCAAGAAAAAGCAAAGCUCCUCUACACUGCUGAUGCUGGAUGGGAUCAUCAGCAGAAGUGAGGGGAACUCCAUCAACCAUCAAGUGAAAACAUUGCAGCACACAGCACAUCUCUGAGGGUGGAAAAGGGGAUGCCAGGCACUUGGAGAAAGAGGAAGGAUCAUGAAGAACAAAACCUGAACAUAAUCACACACAUCUUGAGGCGCAUGUAAACAUAUAUGUGCCUGCU
Molecule: long non-coding RNA, 1127 nt
Organism: Athene cunicularia (burrowing owl)
Lineage: Eukaryota; Metazoa; Chordata; Aves; Strigiformes; Strigidae
Exons: 6
Source: RefSeq, a predicted model, not a curated record